RNAcentral lists this ribosomal RNA (465 nucleotides) under uncultured bacterium. RNAcentral's name for it is "partial 16S ribosomal RNA". It matches the Rfam family "Bacterial small subunit ribosomal RNA", at positions 28 to 507 of the family's 1533-position model. The record is from RNAcentral.
GACGAACGCUGGCGGCGUGCUUAACACAUGCAAGUCGAACGGAAAGGCCCUGCUUGCAGGGUACUCGAGUGGCGAACGGGUGAGUAACACGUGGGUGAUCUGCCCUGCACUUCGGGAUAAGCCUGGGAAACUGGGUCUAAUACCGGAUAGGAGCCAUUUUUAGUGUGAUGGUUGGAAAGUUUUUUCGGUGUAGGAUGAGCUCGCGGCCUAUCAGCUUGUUGGUGGGGUAAUGGCCUACCAAGGCGGCGACGGGUAGCCGGCCUGAGAGGGUGGACGGCCACAUUGGGACUGAGAUACGGCCCAGACUCCUACGGGAGGCAGCAGUGGGGAAGAUUGCAUAAGGGGCGCAAGCCUGAUGCAGCGACGCCGCGGGGGGGAUGACGGCCUUCGGGUUGUAAACUCCUUUCGCUAGGGACGAAGCUUUUUGUGACGGUACCUAGAUAAGAAGCACCGGCUAACUACGUG